This 715-nucleotide ribosomal RNA is filed under the name uncultured bacterium. RNAcentral describes it as "bacterial SSU rRNA". It matches the Rfam family "Bacterial small subunit ribosomal RNA", at positions 8 to 730 of the family's 1533-position model. The record is from RNAcentral.
AGAGUUUGAUCAUGGCUCAGGACGAACGCUGGCGGCGUGCCUAAAACAUGCAAGUCGAACGAGGUCCACCCAGUGGGCAACACUGGGUGAAGACCUAGUGGCGAACGGGUGAGUAACACGUGAGGAACCUGCCCCGAAGACCGGGAUAACCCUCCGAAAGGAGAGCUAAUACCGGAUACCCCCACCAGAUCGCAUGGUCAGGUGAGGAAAUGCAUUGUGCUUCGGGAGGGCCUCGCGGCCUAUCAGCUUGUUGGUGGGGUAACGGCCCACCAAGGCGUCGACGGGUAGCUGGUCUGAGAGGACGAUCAGCCACACUGGGACUGAGACACGGCCCAGACUCCUACGGGAGGCAGCAGUUAGGAAUCUUGCGCAAUGGGCGAAAGCCUGACGCAGCAACGCCGCGUGGGGGAUGAAGGCCUUCGGGUUGUAAACCCCUUUCAGUCGGGACGAAAAUGACAGUACCGACAGAAGAAGCCCCGGCCAACUACGUGCCAGCAGCCGCGGUGACACGUAGGGGGCAAGCGUUGUCCGGAUUUAUUGGGCGUAAAGGGCUCGUAGGCGGUUCGACAAGUCGGGUGUGAAACCUCCAGGCUCAACCUGGAGUCGCCGCUCGAAACUGUUGUGACUAGAGUCCGGUAGAGGAGCAUGGAAUUUGUGGUGUAGCGGUGGAAUGCGCAGAUAUCACAAGGAACACCAGUAGCGAAGGCGAUGCUCU